RNAcentral lists this ribosomal RNA (482 nucleotides) under uncultured bacterium. Its description in RNAcentral is "partial 16S ribosomal RNA". It matches the Rfam family "Bacterial small subunit ribosomal RNA", at positions 28 to 523 of the family's 1533-position model. The record is from RNAcentral.
AGUGAACGUUGGCGGCGUGGAUUAGGCAUGCAAGUCGAGCGAGAACCGUAGCAAUACGGGGACAGCGGCGAAAGGGACAGUAAUGUGUAGGUACCUACCUCCGGGUUCGGGAUAGCUGCGGGAAACUGCAGGUAAUACCGAAUAACGUCUCCGGACCAAAGGUGUGAUUCCACCUGGAGAGGGGCCUGCAUCCUAUUAGCUGGUUGGCGGGGUAACGGCCCACCGAGGCGACGUUGGGUAGCGGGUGUGAGAGCACGACCCGCGUCAUUGGGACUGAGACACUGCCCAGACACCUACGGGUGGCUGCAGUCGUGAAUCUUCGGCAAUGGGCGCAAGCCUGGCCGAGCGACGCCGCGUGCGGGAUGAAGGCCUUCGGGUUGUAAACCGCUGUCGUAGAGGAGGAAAUGCAGGGGGGUUCUCCCCUCUGUUUGACCUAUUCUAGGAGGAAGUACGGGCUAAGUUCGUGCCAGCAGCCGCCGUAA